Molecule: non-coding RNA, 119 nt
Organism: Xenorhabdus vietnamensis
Lineage: Bacteria; Pseudomonadati; Pseudomonadota; Gammaproteobacteria; Enterobacterales; Morganellaceae
Source: Rfam
GGUGGCAGGCCCACCGAAGUCCGCUGUCGGAAGCCGGCUUCAAACCCCCUCAAGCGGCUGCCGUAAAGAGCGGUGGUCGUGAGCGUUGAGGUCAAAGCGCGAACAAUAGUUCGGCAGGU